GCCUUCGUGGUGUAACGGUAGCACACUUUGCGUAUAUUCAAGAGGUGCAGGUUCGAGUCCCGCCGAGGGCA
RNAcentral lists this transfer RNA (71 nucleotides) under Stegodyphus mimosarum. It matches the Rfam family "tRNA". From Rfam's summary of the family: Transfer RNA (tRNA) molecules are approximately 80 nucleotides in length. Lineage: Eukaryota; Metazoa; Arthropoda; Arachnida; Araneae; Eresidae. The record is from Rfam by way of RNAcentral.